RNAcentral lists this ribosomal RNA (391 nucleotides) under uncultured Anaerolineaceae bacterium. Its description in RNAcentral is "bacterial SSU rRNA". It matches the Rfam family "Bacterial small subunit ribosomal RNA", at positions 977 to 1382 of the family's 1533-position model. Lineage: Bacteria; Bacillati; Chloroflexota; Anaerolineae; Anaerolineales; Anaerolineaceae. The record is from RNAcentral.
GGGUUUGACAUAUAGGUUGUAGGGAACUGAAAGGGACCGACCCUUCGGGGAGCCUAUACAGGUGUUGCAUGGCUGUCGUCAGCUCGUGUCGUGAGAUGUUCGGUUAAGUCCGCUAACGAGCGCAACCCUCGUCGUAUGUUAUAUGUGUCAUACGAGACUGCCGGUAAAAGCCGGAGGAAGGUGAGGAUGAUGUCAAGUCAGCAUGACCUUUAUAUCCAGGGCUACACACACGCUACAAUGGUCUGUACAAUGGGUAGCCAAGCCGCGAGGCGGAGCCAAUCCUGAAAGCAGGCCUCAGUUCAGAUUGCAGUCUGCAACUCGACUGCAUGGAGCCGGAGUUGCUAGUAACCGCAGGUCAGCAAUACUGCGGUGAAUACGUUCCCGGGUCCUU